UGCGUAGGCGGCCUGGUAAGUCAGAGGUGAAAUGCACGAGCUUAACUGGUGAAUUGCCUUUGAAACUAUCAAGCUAGAAUUAUGUUGAGGUCAGCGGAAUGAGUCAUGUAGCGGUGAAAUGCAUAGAUAUGACUUAGAACACCAAUUGCGUGGGCAGCUGGCUGGGCAUAUAUUGACGCUGAGGCACGAAAGCGUGGGGAGCGAACAGGAUUAGAUACCCUGGUAGUCC
This 229-nucleotide ribosomal RNA is filed under the name uncultured bacterium. RNAcentral describes it as "partial 16S ribosomal RNA". It matches the Rfam family "Bacterial small subunit ribosomal RNA", at positions 568 to 796 of the family's 1533-position model. The record is from RNAcentral.